RNAcentral lists this ribosomal RNA (468 nucleotides) under uncultured bacterium. RNAcentral's name for it is "partial 16S ribosomal RNA". It matches the Rfam family "Bacterial small subunit ribosomal RNA", at positions 28 to 507 of the family's 1533-position model. The record is from RNAcentral.
GACGAACGCUGGCGGCGUGCUUAACACAUGCAAGUCGAACGGAAAGGCCCUGCUUUUGUGGGGUGCUCGAGUGGCGAACGGGUGAGUAACACGUGAGUAACCUGCCCUUGACUUUGGGAUAACUUCAGGAAACUGGGGCUAAUACCGGCUAGGAGCUCCUGCUGCAUGGUGGGGGUUGGAAAGUUUCGGCGGUUGGGGAUGGACUCGCGGCGUAUCAGCUUGGUGGUGGGGUAGUGGCUUACCAAGGCUUUGACGGGUAGCCGGCCUGAGAGGGUGACCGGCCACAUUGGGACUGAGAUACGGCCCAGACUCCUACGGGAGGCAGCAGUGGGGAAUAUUGCACAAUGGGCGGAAGCCUGAUGCAGCAACGCCGCGUGCGGGAUGACGGCCUUCGGGUUGUAAUCCGCUUUCGCCUGUGACGAAGCGUGAGUGACGGUAAUGGGUAAAGAAGCACCGGCUAACUACGUG